CUUUAUCAGUAUGGAUAUCCCAUAUACGUUGAUGUUGGGAGAUACCUUGAUAAUGUAGAUCCUUGGUCAAACAGUCUCAGGAUAUGGUCUGCAUGUUAGCACUGAGUCAUCCCCGGGGAUCCAGAAGAAUUCAUUUGGAGAAGAAAGCAGAAGAAGCUGCCCUGAGCCACCGCAAGUGAUCAAUCACAAUUACACUAGCAAGGAUGAACACUUAAGAGCCUGGUGCAAACCCCUGUGCUGCUGAAUGCUUCGACGAUGGUAUGCAAGAAAACAGGAAGUUUCAGGAGUCAGUCCUCCUGAGAUGGAGCCCCCAGCACAAGAAAUAAGUGGUCCUGUUGGAGAGAGUCUGGAGGAGGCCAUGAGGAUGCUCAGAAAGCUUAAGCACCUCUUCUUUGAAGGCUGAGGGAGCUGGACUUGUUCAGGUUGGGGAAGAGAAGUCUCUGUGGACACCUCAUUGUGGCCUUUCAGUGCUGAAAGAGAGCUUACAAGAAAGAUGGAGAGC
RNAcentral lists this long non-coding RNA (502 nucleotides) under Gallus gallus (chicken). Lineage: Eukaryota; Metazoa; Chordata; Aves; Galliformes; Phasianidae. The record is from RNAcentral.